GCAAACUUGGUCAUUUAGAGGAAGUAAAAGUCGUAACAAGGUUUCCGUAGGUGAACCUGCGGAAGGAUCAUUAAAAAGUUUGUCACAAAUCUGUGACCUACUCUUGUGCAUCGUUCUAAUUGCCUUUGGCAGUCUUAGUCUUUCUUUCUUAAUUGAAAAAAAGCACCAAUUUAUUUUGGGAGGCUGCCAAUAGUUAAUACACAAACUCAAUAUUGCUAAUCUUGUCUGAAUAAUUUAAAAAUCUUGUGAUUUUUAUUUAUCAUAAAUUUUAAACAACUUUUGACAACGGAUCUCUUGGCUCUCGCAUCGAUGAAGAACGCAGC
RNAcentral lists this unclassified non-coding RNA (323 nucleotides) under uncultured fungus. Its description in RNAcentral is "partial contains small subunit ribosomal RNA, internal transcribed spacer 1, and 5.8S ribosomal RNA". The stretch from base 1 to 73 matches the Rfam family "Eukaryotic small subunit ribosomal RNA", at positions 1759 to 1831 of the family's 1831-position model. Lineage: Eukaryota; Fungi. The record is from RNAcentral.